AUUUUUGUCGUCUAACGGUCAGGACAAUGAGUUUUCACCUCAUAAAUCUGGGUUCGAUUCCCGGCAGAAAUA
RNAcentral lists this transfer RNA (72 nucleotides) under Linnemannia elongata. RNAcentral's name for it is "tRNA-Glu". It matches the Rfam family "tRNA". From Rfam's summary of the family: Transfer RNA (tRNA) molecules are approximately 80 nucleotides in length. Their secondary structure includes four short double-helical elements and three loops (D, anti-codon, and T loops). Lineage: Eukaryota; Fungi; Mortierellomycota; Mortierellomycetes; Mortierellales; Mortierellaceae. The record is from RNAcentral.